GUCCCUGUAGUUCAGUUGGUAGAGCAUGGUGUUUGCAACACCAGGGUUGUGGGUUCGAUUCCCACGGGGGGCC
This 73-nucleotide transfer RNA is filed under the name Salmo salar (Atlantic salmon). It matches the Rfam family "tRNA". From Rfam's summary of the family: Transfer RNA (tRNA) molecules are approximately 80 nucleotides in length. Their secondary structure includes four short double-helical elements and three loops (D, anti-codon, and T loops). Lineage: Eukaryota; Metazoa; Chordata; Actinopteri; Salmoniformes; Salmonidae. The record is from Rfam by way of RNAcentral.